ACUCAGUAGUUAGAUAACAAAACUACUCGCCAGAAUACUACGAGCUACAGCUUAAAACUCAAAGGACUUGACGGUGCUUUACACCCCCUAGAGGAGCCUGUUCCGUAAUCGAUAAACCCCGAUCCACCCCACCCUCUCUUGCUCAGCCUAUAUACCGCCAUCUUCAGCAAACCCCAAUGAAGGUCACAAAGUGAGCGCAAACGCCACCACCGCGAAUACGUUAGGUCAAGGUGUAGCCUAUGAGAUGGUAAAAAAUGGGCUACAUUUUCUACCUCAGAAAAUUCCACGAAAGCCCUUAUGAAAUUUAAGGACCCAAGGAGGAUUUAGCAGUAAAUUAAGAAUAGAGUGCUUAAUUGAACUAGGCCAUAAAGCG
RNAcentral lists this ribosomal RNA (373 nucleotides) under Macaca mulatta (Rhesus monkey). RNAcentral's name for it is "partial 12S ribosomal RNA". It matches the Rfam family "Bacterial small subunit ribosomal RNA", at positions 843 to 1381 of the family's 1533-position model. The record is from RNAcentral. Lineage: Eukaryota; Metazoa; Chordata; Mammalia; Primates; Cercopithecidae.